Molecule: ribosomal RNA, 440 nt
Filed under: uncultured bacterium
Lineage: Bacteria
Description: bacterial SSU rRNA
Rfam family: Bacterial small subunit ribosomal RNA
Source: RNAcentral
CCUACGGGUGGCAGCAGCAGGGAAUCUUGCGCAAUGGGCGAAAGCCUGACGCAGCAACGCCGCGUGGGGGAUGAAGGCUCUCGGGUUGUAAACCCCUUUCAGCAGGGACGAUUGUGACGGUACCUGCAGAAGAAGCCCCGGCCAACUACGUGCCAGCAGCCGCGGUAACACGUAGGGGGCGAGCGUUGUCCGGAUUUAUUGGGCGUAAAGAGCUCGUAGGCGGCUCAGUAAGUCGGGUGUGAAAACUCAGGGCUCAACCCUGAGACGCCACUCGAUACUGCUGUGGCUAGAGUCCGGUAGGGGAGCAGGGAAUACCUGGUGUAGCGGUGAAAUGCGCAGAUAUCAGGUGGAACACCGGUGGCGAAGGCGCUGCUCUGGGCCGGAACUGACGCUGAGGAGCGAAAGCGUGGGUAGCAAACAGGAUUAGAUACCCUGGUAGU